Molecule: transfer RNA, 73 nt
Filed under: Palmaria palmata (dulse)
Lineage: Eukaryota; Rhodophyta; Florideophyceae; Palmariales; Palmariaceae
Description: tRNA-Gln
Rfam family: tRNA
About the family: Transfer RNA (tRNA) molecules are approximately 80 nucleotides in length. Their secondary structure includes four short double-helical elements and three loops (D, anti-codon, and T loops). Further hydrogen bonds mediate the characteristic L-shaped molecular structure. tRNAs have two regions of fundamental functional importance: the anti-codon, which is responsible for specific mRNA codon recognition, and the 3' end, to which the tRNAs corresponding amino acid is attached (by aminoacyl-tRNA synthetases). tRNAs cope with the degeneracy of the genetic code in two manners: having more than one tRNA (with a specific anti-codon) for a particular amino acid; and 'wobble' base-pairing, i.e. permitting non-standard base-pairing at the 3rd anti-codon position.
Source: RNAcentral
UGGUGUAUAGCCAAAUCGGUAAGGCAGUGGCUUUUGAUGCCGUCACGUAAAGGUUCGAGUCCUUUUACACCAG